UACGAAAGGGGCUAGCGUUGUUCGGAAUUACUGGGCGUAAAGCGCGCGUAGGCGGCUUGGCAAGUGAGGCGUGAAAGUCCUGGGCUCAACCUGGGGACGGCGCUUCAGACUGCCUCGCUUGAGGCCGGAAGAGGGUGGUGGAAUUCCGAGUGUAGAGGUGAAAUUCGUAGAUAUUCGGAGGAACACCGGUGGCGAAGGCGGCCACCUGGUCCGGUACUGACGCUCAAGCGCGAAAGCGUGGGGAGCAAAC
RNAcentral lists this ribosomal RNA (250 nucleotides) under uncultured bacterium. RNAcentral's name for it is "partial 16S ribosomal RNA". It matches the Rfam family "Bacterial small subunit ribosomal RNA", at positions 524 to 773 of the family's 1533-position model. The record is from RNAcentral.